GAUGAACGCUGGCGGCGUGCCUAAUACAUGCAAGUCGAGCGAACAGAUGUGGAGCUUGCUCCUCGGACGUUAGCGGCGGACGGGUGAGUAACACGGGGAUAACCUACCUAUAGGACUGGGAUAACUUCGGGAAACCGGCGCUAAUACCGGAUAAUAUAUUGAACCGCAUGGUUCAAUAGUGAAAGACGGUUUUGCUGUCACUUAUAGAUGGAUCCGCGCCGCAUUAGCUAGUUGGUAAGGUAACGGCUUACCAAGGCGACGAUGCGUAGCCGACCUGAGAGGGUGAUCGGCCACACUGGAACUGAGACACGGUCCAGACUCCUACGGGAGGCAGCAGUAGGGAAUCUUCCGCAAUGGGCGAAAGCUUGACGGAGCAACGCCGCGUGAGUGAUGAAGGUCUUCGGAUCGUAAAACUCUGUUAUUAGUGAAGAACAAAUGUGUAAGUAACUAUGCACGUCUUGACGGUACCUAAUCAGAAAGCCACGGCUAACUACGUG
Molecule: ribosomal RNA, 497 nt
Filed under: uncultured bacterium
Lineage: Bacteria
Description: partial 16S ribosomal RNA
Rfam family: Bacterial small subunit ribosomal RNA
Source: RNAcentral